RNAcentral lists this RNase P RNA (403 nucleotides) under Reyranella sp. RNAcentral's name for it is "RNase P RNA component class A". It matches the Rfam family "Bacterial RNase P class A". Rfam says of the family: Ribonuclease P (RNase P) is a ubiquitous endoribonuclease, found in archaea, bacteria and eukarya as well as chloroplasts and mitochondria. Its best characterised activity is the generation of mature 5'-ends of tRNAs by cleaving the 5'-leader elements of precursor-tRNAs. The record is from RNAcentral. Lineage: Bacteria; Pseudomonadati; Pseudomonadota; Alphaproteobacteria; Hyphomicrobiales; Reyranellaceae.
UCAGACGGCUGGAUGGCUGCGCUUCGCGGGCAACCGCGGGGUGAGGAAAGUCCGGGCUCCACGGAGACACGGUGCCGGCUAACGGCCGGCGGGGGCGACCCCAGGGAAAGUGCCACAGAGAACAGACCGCCAAGCUGGUUCGCCAGCGAGGUAAGGGUGAAACGGUGGGGUAAGAGCCCACCGCGCGAGCGGUAACGCAAGCGGCACGGCAAACCCCACCGGGAGCAAGACCAAAUAGGGGCGGCACGCCGGGCAACCGGCAAGCGGUGUUUCCGCGCCGCCGCCCGGGUCGGUCGCGCGAGGCGCUCGGCAACGGGCGUCCCAGAGGAAUGGCCAUCCAUCGCUCGCCCAGGUUCGCUUGGGAGGGCGUGGACAGAACCCGGCUUACAGGCCGUCUGACCCU